RNAcentral lists this ribosomal RNA (468 nucleotides) under uncultured bacterium. RNAcentral describes it as "partial 16S ribosomal RNA". It matches the Rfam family "Bacterial small subunit ribosomal RNA", at positions 28 to 507 of the family's 1533-position model. The record is from RNAcentral.
GACGAACGCUGGCGGCGUGCUUAACACAUGCAAGUCGAACGGAAAGGCCCUGCUUUUGUGGGGUGCUCGAGUGGCGAACGGGUGAGUAACACGUGAGUAACCUGCCCUUGACUUUGGGAUAACUUCAGGAAACUGGGGCUAAUACCGGAUAGGAGCUCCUGCUGCAUGGUGGGGGUUGGAAAGUUUCGGCGGUUGGGGAUGGACUCGCGGCUUAUCAGCUUGGUGGGGGGGUAGUGGCUUAACAAGGUUUUGACGGGUCGCCGGCCUGAGGGGGUGACCGGCCACAUUGGGACGGAGCUACGGCCCAGACUCCUACGGGCGGCAGCAGGGGGGAAUGUUGCACAAUGGGCGGAAGCAUGAUGCAGCAACGCCGCGUGCGGGAUGACGGCCGUCGGGUUGUAAACCGCUUUCGCCUGUGACGAAGCGUGAGUGACGGUAAUGGGUAAAGAAGCACCGGCUAACUACGUG